GUUGCUCGCUUCAGCAGCACAUACUGAAAUUGGAACAAUACAGAGAAGAUUAGCAUGGCCACUGAGCAAGGAUGGUGGGCGCAAAUUCUUGAAGUGUUCCAUAUUAAA
Molecule: small nuclear RNA, 108 nt
Organism: Peromyscus eremicus (cactus mouse)
Lineage: Eukaryota; Metazoa; Chordata; Mammalia; Rodentia; Cricetidae
Source: RefSeq, a predicted model, not a curated record